This 501-nucleotide ribosomal RNA is filed under the name uncultured bacterium. Its description in RNAcentral is "partial 16S ribosomal RNA". It matches the Rfam family "Bacterial small subunit ribosomal RNA", at positions 29 to 523 of the family's 1533-position model. The record is from RNAcentral.
AUUGAACGCUGGCGGCAUGCCUUACACAUGCAAGUCGAACGGCAGCACGGGUGCUUGCACCUGGUGGCGAGUGGCGAACGGGUGAGUAAUACAUCGGAACGUACCUUAUCGUGGGGGAUAACGCAGCGAAAGCUGUGCUAAUACCGCAUACGCCCUGAGGGGGAAAGCGGGGGAUCGCAAGACCUCGCGCGAUUAGAGCGGCCGAUGCCUGAUUAGCUUGUUGGUGGGGUAAAAGCCCACCAAGGCGACGAUCAGUAGCUGGUCUGAGAGGACGAUCAGCCACACUGGGACUGAGACACGGCCCAGACUCCUACGGGAGGCAGCAGUGGGGAAUUUUGGACAAUGGGGGCAACCCUGAUCCAGCAAUGCCGCGUGAGGGGAGAAGGCCUUCGGGUUGUAAAGCUCUUUUGUCAGGGAAGAAACACCGGCUCUAACACAGUCUGGGAAUGACGGUACCUGAAGAAUAAGCACCGGCUAACUACGUGCCAGCAGCCGCCGUAA